This 806-nucleotide ribosomal RNA is filed under the name uncultured Gammaproteobacteria bacterium. Its description in RNAcentral is "bacterial SSU rRNA". It matches the Rfam family "Bacterial small subunit ribosomal RNA", at positions 94 to 892 of the family's 1533-position model. Lineage: Bacteria; Pseudomonadati; Pseudomonadota; Gammaproteobacteria. The record is from RNAcentral.
AGCGGCGGACGGGUGAGUAAUGCCUAGGAAUCUGCCUGGUAGUGGGGGAUAACGUCCGGAAACGGGCGCUAAUACCGCAUACGUCCUGAGGGAGCAAAGUGGGGGAUCUUCGGACCUCACGCUAUCAGAUGAGCCUAGGUCGGAUUAGCUAGUUGGUGGGGUAAAGGCCUACCAAGGCGACGAUCCGUAACUGGUCUGAGAGGAUGAUCAGUCACACUGGAACUGAGACACGGUCCAGACUCCUACGGGCAGGCAGCAGUGGGGAAUAUUGGCACAAUGGGCGAAAGCCUGAUCCAGCCAUGCCGCGUGUGUGAAGAAGGUCUUCGGAUUGUAAAGCACUUUAAGUUGGGAGGAAGGGCAGUAAGUUAAUACCUUGCUGUUUUGACGUUACCAACAGAAUAAGCACCGGCUAACUUCGUGCCAGCAGCCGCGGUAAUACGAAGGGUGCAAGCGUUAAUCGGAAUUACUGGGCGUAAAGCGCGCGUAGGUGGUUCAGCAAGUUGGAUGUGAAAUCCCCGGGCUCAACCUGGGAACUGCAUCCAAAACUACUGAGCUGGAGUACGGUAGAGGGUGGUGGAAUUUCCUGUGUAGCGGUGAAAUGCGUAGAUAUAUGAAGGAACACCAGUGGCGAAGGCGACUUUCUGGUCUGUAACUGACGCUGAUGUGCGAAAGCGUGGGGAUCAAACAGGAUUAGAUACCCUGGUAGUCCACGCCGUAAACGAUGAGUGCUAAGUGUUAGGGGGUUUCCGCCCCUUAGUGCUGCAGCUACGCAUUAAGCACUCCGCCUGGGAGAGUACGACCGCAAG